UUUCCCUUAGCCCAGAGGUUUUUGACUUUUUUUGAGUCCACGGCUCCCUUGACCAACUACAUUCUUUCUGUGAGGCUCAGGAGCCCAGCUAUGCCACCCCUUGCCAGCAGAGCUGGCAGCCUCUCGUCCUUUUUCUGACUCCUUCCCUUGUGGAGUGUUCCCUCUUCUCCUCUCCCCUCUCCUUCGGAGUCCCCUGGACAGCCGCAACUGCCGCCCCUUCCCUAAAGAGAGGUGCCUCCUCACGCUGCCCCACAGGGGCCUGGGGAGCACCCCCUGGCCAGCUCCAGAGGCACCGUUCGCCUGGGGAGCUUGUAGCCAGGGGUGCUGCAACAAACAGCUGUGCAAGCCUUUGGGAGGCAGAGAUGCAAGAAGGCAUGGGGGGGGGGAGAAAGAGGGACAGAGGCCAGUGUUGCUCCCAGCACCCUUGACCAUCAUUCAGGGCACCCCAGGGUGCCACAGCACCCUGGUUGAAAACCACUGCCCACCCAACAAGCAUCAGACAUACAUCACAGAAAGAGGCAGUCUUCUCUCCUGGCUUGUCUCUUGUCAUGAUACCCUGACAAUGUUUGCUGGUUGCCCUUUCCUGACCAGUCUGAGCCUUUCCCUUGAAAUGGUAAAUACCUCAGUUCUUGAAUCCAUUGUCACAGAUCUACCCCUAUUUAUGUGAGAUGUUUAUAGCUUUGGAAGGAUUUGUAAGUGAAAAGAACUAUUGGGAAAGGUUUUUUCUUCAACUGCAGAGUAAAUAUCUGGGGUCAUUAAGAGGGCUUCAGAAUUGCUCUGUGAACUCAAAGAAAGUGUCUUUUUUUUCAGGGAAUAUUUUAUAAUUUUUGAAUGGUGAAGGGUUGUUUUUUCUCCAGGGUGUGUGUCUGCUAUGUGUGCACCUUAAGAUUUGUGUAACACUCAUGCCAACUUUGGUUGCCCAGCGCCUGCAAGUCCCCUACUGUGACAUCAUAGAAUGCUUGCAGUUUUUUUAUAAACCCCACCAGCAACUGCUCACCAGGAGCAGAACUGAGCAGCUUCUGUGAGUGAAGUGAAGAGCUGUUUCUCAGAAGAGGAAGCCCUGGGAGAGACUAGGGUUCAAAUACCUCCUUACUCAGCUAUGCAGCUCACUGGGUGACCUGGGGCAGGUUGUGGGGAUUAAAUGAGAAGAUAGGACACCCCUUCGAGACUGCUCUGAGAUCCCAGGUUGGAUAUAAGCGCCAUAAAUGAGAAAAGAGAGACACACGUCGGCCUGUGAAUGACCCCAGGCAGCUGGCAGAAGGACUCGGACAUAGAGGCAGAGGGAACCUGAAGGCUUCAGGACGAAGUUGCUGUUAAGCACUGGACAUAGCGCCGACUGGAAAAGGUGAGUGGCCGUCUGCAAGAUCUUACAGAGCUCAUGAGAUCUUGAGAUUUCAGGAAAAUCUCACAAGAUCUUGCUAGCCUAAUACUGCUAUUAAACCAACUAGAUUUAGUAGGAUUAUGCGUAGGGUUUCCAUGUUGGGUUGCAGCUAGCACUGUGGGCAGGGUAAAGUCCUGGCACUUAUAUGACCUCCCACUACGGACAUUGCUGGUGCUGGCAGGGUUGAGUAAGGUUGGCACAGUGCAAACACACCAGUGCAGCCAAACUCGUGCUCAUGCCAGUGUGUUCACACCACAUCAACCUCACCUCCUUCCUCCUCUACCUGUUCCCUUUUGAGAUGCAGAUGAGGACAUGUUUGUGGAUGAACCCAGCUUCAUGGCCGAAGAUUCCCUGUGGUUACAGCAAAGGCAAUCCUAACCCAAGAAGGACAACAGGAAAUGACUAAUUGCAUGAACAUGCAAUUGCCCUGCCCAUUUUCUCCCCUAUCUUUAUAGGUAUCGGUUCCAGCCUGUGACCUGGUAAGAAGUGGAAAGGAAGCCUUACCAUCCCAAACCUGUGGUGGACAUUGAACCUCCAAACUCUCUGGGGAUGGAUGCACCGGAAGCCACCGGUCCCACAGAGGAAGAUGUUCGACCGUGGAUCUUACAAUUUUUUGGUGGACCUGAAAAUCCUAUUCAGGAAACAACCAGUGGGAAGGAAAUUCUCCUCCUCCCAGGCCUUGGAAGAAACACAUUCUGCUCAAGGGCCAAGUGACUGUUUCAGUACAAAUAAAGUGACAGUUGCAGGUGAACCAGGAAA
Podarcis raffonei (Aeolian wall lizard) is the source of this 2140-nucleotide long non-coding RNA. RefSeq lists it as uncharacterized. NCBI's taxonomy places the organism in Eukaryota, Metazoa, Chordata, Lepidosauria, Squamata, Lacertidae. The record is from RefSeq and is a predicted model, not a curated record. The transcript has 2 exons.